RNAcentral lists this ribosomal RNA (253 nucleotides) under uncultured bacterium. Its description in RNAcentral is "partial 16S ribosomal RNA". It matches the Rfam family "Bacterial small subunit ribosomal RNA", at positions 524 to 776 of the family's 1533-position model. The record is from RNAcentral.
UACAGAGGUCCCAAGCGUUGUUCGGAUUUACUGGGCGUAAAGCGUGUGUAGGCGGACCUUUAAGUAGAAAGUGAAAGGUUGGUGCUCAACACCAACAUUGCUCUCUAUACUGGAGGUCUUGAGUGUCGGAGAGGAAGAUGGAACUGCACGUGUAGCGGUGAAAUGCGUUGAGAUGUGCAGGAACACCAAUGGCGAAGGCAAUCUUCUGGACGAAAACUGACGCUGAGACACGAAAGCCAAGGUAGCAAACAGG